Molecule: long non-coding RNA, 1518 nt
Organism: Aedes aegypti (yellow fever mosquito)
Lineage: Eukaryota; Metazoa; Arthropoda; Insecta; Diptera; Culicidae
Exons: 2
Source: RefSeq, a predicted model, not a curated record
UUCAAAUAUAUUGAUUUCUGAACUUUAAAUCAUACUGACUAGUACUUUGACAUCGAGAGUUGGUUUUGUGAUGAUGGUAAAUCGAAAUCUUAUUCCAGUUCUAUGUAUCUCACAAUAUAUUACAUCGAGAUCCAAUAUUUGAUUCUAACCACUACUGUAAAUAUAUCUAACCACGCUGGUAAAUAUAUAGAUAUAGUUGUCCUCUGCUGUUUCCUACCUUUUUGGAGCGAACUUGUCGCCCCUGUCAAAUCUUCUUUGUGCUUAUCGUGGUUGGCUGUCAAGUUUGGUUUAUUUUCUACAUUUGGUUUCGUUGGCACGAUUUUUUUUACACAUCCUUACAUCUAUUCAUCCGAAGUUGUCACCUUAAAGGUAAAGAGCUCAAUUUGUUUGCUGUUUCGGGUUCAUUGAUGAUAUGAACUGUUUGACUAAUAGCUAUGAGAUGUCAGUUUAUUAUAAACUACACGCACAAUUAAGAGCUAAGUUCCCUAACCUAUGGAAACUCUUAUCUUCCCGUCCCCCUUCCAGGUCCGACUUUAGUUCGUCGAUACAGUUUUAGUUCGGUUUUGACAAUUUUUUUCUGUUGCUAAAACUAUUACAAUUUAAUAUCACAUUCAUGAGGUUUUGUUCGCUGUUUGUGUGUAUGUUUUUUUUAUGUGAGUGUGUGUAUGCGCGGUUUCGUUUCCCUUCCAGACCUGUUCGUUCGCAUCAUUGGAAACCCUGCUGUACUACUUUGUGAUUGGGAAUGUUAGGUUAUCAGAUAUGUGUGUAGAUGAGUUAAUCUCCACAGAAUCGUAAAGCUAAACGAAAAGACGGACGCUUAUCGAUCGGAACGUUAGUGCGGUUAGGCGAUAGCGAUAGCGACAGAUACUCUCUAGCUUAGGACACUAUGAAGUAACAGGGCUAUGUUACGUGGGAUGCUUCUUCUCUAACGAUUUGUACUACUGAUUGUGGACAGGUAUUUGAUGGACGCUACACUCAAAUGUUAUGCGUAGAUGAAAGAAGGUAUACGGCUAUUUCUGGGAAAAGUAAAAGCUCAUUUCGGUUGCAUCUUUAUUGCAUUGCAUAUCUCUAAUCUCAAAACGGAAUCGGUUUUCUGCUCGAAACUUCUGCUAUAGUUUGCGAUUUUCCUCGGAGAAAGUGGGCUCAUGCUUUCUGCGAAGAAGAUGGUUGCUAGAGGCCAUUUGUUUGGUAAUCUGCAGUAGAUGGCAAUUGUGGUUAGUUUCGGAUAUUCAUAGCUUGGUAGGAUUUGAACAGGGAUUGUUUGUCAAUCAUGAAUGAAUUAAUAGAUUGCUAAGGGCCAGUUGACUUCAUAAAUCACCGAUCUUUUUUUCGAAAUACAUUAAAACUAAUUGGGUUGAAACGUGGAAUGCUGAAUGGUUCAAAAUUAGGAGCAACGGUUGCAGACGAGAUGUCCAUUUCGAUUAUGAUGAUUUAUUAUUGACCUAAGGGGUGCGAUCUCCAACAUUUUGGUCAUUUAAUUUGAACACAUUUUUUUUCUGUUUGUUUGCUUGUCUCGCA